This 104-nucleotide small nuclear RNA is filed under the name Salvator merianae (Argentine black and white tegu). Lineage: Eukaryota; Metazoa; Chordata; Lepidosauria; Squamata; Teiidae. The record is from RNAcentral.
GUGCUUCUUUCAGCAACACAUAUAAAAUUGCAACAAUACAGAGAAGAUUAGCAUGGCCCCUACACAAGCAUGACAUGCAAAUUCAUGAAGCAUUCCAUAAUAUU